GACGAACGCUGGCGGCGUGCCUAACACAUGCAAGUCGAACGGGAUCCGCAAGGAUUCAGUGGCGGACGGGUGCGUAACACGUGAGGAACAUAGCCAUCGGCGGGGGAUAGCCGGCCCAACGGCCGGGUAAUACCGCGUACGAUCUUCGGGGGGCAUCCUCUGGAGAUGAAAGCAGCAAUGCGCCGAUGGGGUGCCUCGCGGCCUAUCAGCUAGUUGGUGAGGUAAUGGCUCACCAAGGCGAUGACGGGUAGCUGGUCCGAGAGGAUGACCAGCCACAUUGGGACUGAGACACGGCCCAGACUCCUACGGGAGGCAGCAGUGGGGAAUAUUGCGCAAUGGGGGAAACCCUGACGCAGCGACGCCGCGUGUGGGAUGAAGGUCUUCGGAUUGUAAACCACUGUCGCGAGGGACGAAGCUCUGACGGUACCUCGAAAGGAAGCACCGGCUAACUCUGUGCCAGCCCGCCGCCGUAAU
Molecule: ribosomal RNA, 474 nt
Filed under: uncultured bacterium
Lineage: Bacteria
Description: bacterial SSU rRNA
Rfam family: Bacterial small subunit ribosomal RNA
Source: RNAcentral